AUGAGAGCUUUAUUCUGGAAUAUUCGUGGUUUCGGUGCUACGGGGUGCCGUGACCAGAUUCAUGACUUGGUUUGUGGUGAACAUAUUGACAUUUUAGGGUUGGUCGAAACGUUUAAGGAAUCCUUUUCCCCUUCUGAACUCUAUGCGAUAGCUGGGAUGGAUAGGUUUGAUUGGCACUUUCUCCCUGCCUCGGGUCAUUCUGGGGGAAUCUUGAUUGGGUCCAAGCGGGACGUUUUUGAUCUCAUUGCUUUUGAUCAUGACAUCUUUUGGGCUAGCUGUGUGGUUCAUCAUCGUCAGCUCAAAACUCUGUGGGAAUUUAUGGUGGUAUACGGUCCUGCGGAUCACACGCUUGCUCCUCUCCUUUUGGAUGAACUGUCGAUUAAGAUUGAAGCUUGUAAUAUUCCUCUUUUAAUUGGGGGUGAUUUCAAUUUGUUACGUUCUCCGGCCGACAAGAACAAUCCUAAUUUCUCGGCCUCUUGCCAAUGCUUUUAA
This 492-nucleotide ribosomal RNA is filed under the name Triticum aestivum (bread wheat). Its description in RNAcentral is "partial small subunit ribosomal RNA". Lineage: Eukaryota; Viridiplantae; Streptophyta; Magnoliopsida; Poales; Poaceae. The record is from RNAcentral.